ACUUACGGUUCUGCUUGUUGCAAGCUAAACCUUCUUUCUUUCUCUCUCUUUUUUUGCUUUUUGUUUUUUCGGGCCAAACCCACAGCAUAUGGAGGUUCCCAGGCUGGGGGUCCAAUCGAAGCUGUAGCUGCUGGCCUACGCCAGAGCCACAGCAACUCGGGAUCCGAGCCGCAUCUGCGACCUACACCACAGCUCAUGGCAACACCGGAUCCUUAACCCACUGAGCAAGGCCAGCGACCGAACCCACAACCUCAUGGUUCCUAGUCAGAUUCCUUAACCACUGCGCCACGACGGGAACUCCCAGGUUACUUUUCAGGAAAGUCAACUGAGGCUGAGAGGAAGGGAAUAACUGCCUAACAGCCCACAGCUAGUGAGUGGUUAUGGCAGGUUGCAUGUCUCCUCCCCAGAGUUCUCCACAUCUUCAUCUUGGGACCCUGGGAAUAUGCUGCCUGGCAAAGGGGAAUUAAGGGUGCAGAUGGAAUUAAGGGUACUAAUCAGCUGACCUUGAGAUGGGGAGGGUCUCCUGAACUCUCUGGCUGGUCUCAAUGUAAUCAAAGGGCCCUCGUCAUAAACAAAAAGAGGCAGGUAAGAGAAUAAGUCUCGGACGGAGACUCCAGGGGCCAACGCUGGCGUUGGAAGGUGGAGGAAAGGGGCCAUGAGCCACUGGGCAGCCUCUAGAGGCUACAAAAGGCAACAGAACAGAUUCUUUCUCGAGCCCUGGAAAGACCACGGCUAUGAGACCCCUUCAGGGUCAGCCCCGUGAGGCCCAUUUUAGACUUGUGACCUCCACAACUGCGAGAUCAUGGUUAGUUGAGUGGCUGAGGUGGCUUCAGCGAAGCUUGACGUUUAUCUUACCUUUGAGAUCAGUUCCGCCUGCCCAGUGAGCAGGAAAUCAAAAACCGGGGGCACGUCUAGGUGUCUGGAGGCUGCAGCUCCUUUGGAUGGUCCAUAAGAUGUUACUGGAUAAUUUCCUGUCCUGGGACCACUUUGUGAAAUAAAAACUUCCCUCCAAAGGAGAGACUAUCUCCUAUUUCACUUAUAAAUCAAGUAAACUCCUGUUCUUUGACUUGAAGUAAAUAACCUCUCUCCUCCUCUCAGCAAAUGUCUUCCUCUUGGUCUCUGCUGUUGCCACCACCUUCUGAAAGUCAGAAAAAUAUUAAGCUCAUUUUUUUUUCCCUUUACUUUUUCUUUCUUUCUUUCUUUUUUUCUUUUUCUUUUUCUUUUCUUUCUUUUUUUUUUUUUUAAUGGGUCCACCUGCAUCACAUGAAGUUUCAGGGCCAGGGGUUGAAUUGUAUCUGUAUCAUCGGCCUACACCACAGCCACAGCAAGGCAGGAUCUGAGCUGCAUCUGCGGAAAGCUACACUGCAGCUUCUGGCAAUGCCAGAUUCUUAACACACUGAGCGAGGCCAGGGAUUGAACCCGCAUUCUCAUGGACGCCAUGUCAGGUUCUUAACCCGCAGAGCCAUCACAAAAACUCCCAAAUGUAUUAAAUAAAACCACAAAACCCCGUAAUACAGGAAACACUUUUAUGGAGCCCUUGCUAUGUGUAAGGAAACUUCAACAUGUUAGUUCUUGUAAUCCCCACACUGACUCUGUGUCAUUAGUCUUCUUCCCAUAUUGAGGCUAAAGGGAUGGAUGCUCAGAGAUGAUACAUAUUUUGCCCAAGAUCGCCCAGGACUGGAAGUGAGAGUCUUACCCACGUUGGUCUGAUGCUAGAGCUCUCUGUGUUUACACACCACACUGCUACUGCUUUCACCUCUGUUCUUGGACUUUCCAUCUAGAUUAUGAACCUUGGAAAAGAAACAAUUUACCUCUUAUUUAGAAAAUAGCAAAAGAAGGUGACUACAUAAUUUUAAAUAGUAAUUGUUGUAUACGUAUUUCAAUUUAAAACAGAACUGUGGAGGGAGUUCCCAUUGUGGCUCAACAGGUUAAGGACCUGACAUAGUGUCUUUGAGGACGUGGCUUCGAUCCCUGGCCUCGCUCAGUAGGUUACGGAUCUGGUGUUGCCAAAAACUAUGGCGCAGAUCAAAGGCGUGGCUCGGAUCUGGUGCUGCUGUGGUUGUGGCGUAGGCCUGCAGCUACAGCUCCAAUUCGACCUCUGGCCUGGGAACCUCCAUAUGCCGCAGGUGUGGCUGCAAAAAGAAAAAAAUAUAAAUAAGGACUGUGGAAUUUUCCUUGUUGGUCAUCUUAAGUGGGUACAGAUGACCAACAGGUCAUGUUAUAAACUAGAGACCCAUCCAAGGCCUUACAUAGAAUAGGGGCCAGAGUUGGAAUGAGGCCCCAGGAUUCCUACCUCUUAAUCUUGUGUUCUUUCUUCUACUACAAUACACAUCAUUCAAUUUAUGACCCGAAAAAAGGAGUUUUCAACAGUCUAAACCUAACAGUGUGAGGUCAGAUGAGAAGCAGAUGGUGACAAAGAACGCCUCCUCUCUGUACCUUCUUGUCACUCAGCACAACCCAUGGGGAUGUUUCUCUGUUUUGUUUAGCAUUCAGCAGUUCGUUCUGGAUUCCCAGAAAUGCUUAUUCAUUUCACCAGACCUGAGAGCCAGAUAUAGUUCGUGGGAGGACAUUUUAUUAAUUUUCCUUUAUUUCUUUGUCCCUGCUUAAUGUACAGUUUGAGAACAAGAAUGCUCAUCAGGUUGUAAUGCCUAACUGAAUAAAAAGCAGCACUCCAGACCGCUUUGGUUGAAAGCUUCUUAAUAUGUUUAUCUACUUAGCUUUUAAAUCUUUCCGUAUUUUCUUAUUCCUUCAAUACAGUUUUUGCAGGUACAGAGUCUAUUUCUCCUCAAAUCACCAACCGCACAAUUCAGCAAACCAAUUGUAUGUUUUGUUGGCCUGACUGUGGGUGAUCGAAUUACCCUUUGUUCCCCAUUCUCCUCCCUUGGUAUCGACCAGGAAGGAAAGUAGUCGGGAAAAGAGAGCACUCAAGAAUUCAGACAUUAAAAGUUCCCUGGUUAAAAAAGAAACAACAACAACAACAAAAACCAGAAAGAGUUUCCUGGUGGCUCAGUAGGUUAAGGAUCCAGCAUUGCUACUGCCGUGGCUCAUAUCCCUGCUGUGGUGCAUGUUUCAGGGCCAAAAAACCCAAACCAAACAUUAUAAAAAAGAGAGACAGAGAAUUCAGGGAGCUCCCGUUGAGGUUCAGUGGGUUACGAACCCAACUAGUAUCCGAGAGAAUGCAGGCUCAAUCCCUGGCCCUGCUCAGUGUGCUAGGGAUCUGGCAUUGCUGUGAGCUGUAGUUUAGGUCGUAGAUGUGGCUUGGAUCCUGCGUGGCUGUGGCUGUAGGGCAGGCUGGCAGCUGCAACUCUGAUAUAACUCUUAGCCUGGGAACUUCCAUAUGCCUCGGGUGCAGCCUUAUAAAGAAAAAAAAAAAAA
This 3375-nucleotide long non-coding RNA is filed under the name Sus scrofa (pig). Its description in RNAcentral is "lncRNA (ENSSSCG00005037546.1, ENSSSCG00155017156.1, ENSSSCG00165014816.1)". The record is from RNAcentral. Lineage: Eukaryota; Metazoa; Chordata; Mammalia; Artiodactyla; Suidae.